Molecule: ribosomal RNA, 169 nt
Filed under: uncultured bacterium
Lineage: Bacteria
Description: partial 16S ribosomal RNA
Rfam family: Bacterial small subunit ribosomal RNA
Source: RNAcentral
CCUACGGGAGGCAGCAGCAAGGAAUUUUCGGCAAUGGGCGCAAGCCUGACCGWGCAACGCCGCGUGGAGGAUGACGGCCUUCGGGUUGUAAACUCCUUUUCCAGGGGAUGAUGAUGACCGUACCCUGGGAAUCAGGCUCGGCUAACUCUGUGCCAGCAGCCGCGGUAAU